RNAcentral lists this long non-coding RNA (1359 nucleotides) under Gossypium barbadense (sea-island cotton). RNAcentral describes it as "long non-coding RNA (GBAR_LNC017371)". Lineage: Eukaryota; Viridiplantae; Streptophyta; Magnoliopsida; Malvales; Malvaceae. The record is from RNAcentral.
GCGAAUAGACCAAUAAACCCAGGUGGGCGGAUCCUACCCGGAUCGGGUCACCGUUCGGGUUUGAUCACAGACGGCGCCGUUUUGAAUCAGGUUAUUAAAAUAAAACAAAGCACAAAAAAAAGGAACCCUAACAGAACACUUUAAAACCAUUUCUUAAAAACUUAAACUCUCCCUCUCCCUCGACACCGCUCAGUAGUUCAUCACCCUUUCAGAGGCUCUCCGGACCGUGCCUUUAGCUCCGACAACAACGGAGGAAGAGCAAUCGGUCCAAACGUGAGGUACGCCCUCUCUCUCUUACUGUUAUCUCCUUAAAAAUGCUCGAUAGAAUCUCAAAACAAAAACAACAAAUCCCAAAAAAGGGUUGAACUAUGAACAAUCAAAAGAGAAAAAAAAUGAACCCAGAAAUUACCUUUUUUGGUGCUUUUUGAUUUUUGUAUUCUGAUUUUUGUAUUCUGAUUGCGUAUAUUUUUUUACAGCAUGGUCUUGGUCCUUUUUAUAGCGUCUAUUUACAGAAUAGAAUAAAAUAAAAAUAAAAUCCAAACAAAUCGCCCCUGCUCUGUCAUCCUUACUUUUUUUCUCUCUGCCCCUUUUGUUUGGUGUCUGUUUUUGCUGCUUUUUUGUGCGUCUCUUGCAGGUACGGAGCGCAGGGUCUGGACGCGGCACGUACGGAGGCGAAGGCGCGCGUACGAGGUAGCAGACGUGGCACCACGCACAUGGGGAGAGGCGUGGGUGGCAGCGGCGCAGGAGGCUUCUGCUGCUGCUAGGGUUUUCGGCGUUUGAGGCUGAGUUGGGUUUUGGCCUUCCGUAAUCGGGCUAGGGACUUGGGCAUUUGUAUUUAGAAGUUGGGCUUAUUGUAUUGGGUUGUAACUGGACUGUGGACUUUUAAUUUUUAAUUUGGUUUUAUUUUAUUCAUUUGUUUAUUUGGUUUAUUUCAUUAACGGGCCGAGCAGAUUGAGCCUACUACAAUUAAAAAAUAUAUAAAAGUAUUUUAUUGUAAUGAUGACGUAUUAUAAGAAUAAGAAAUAGACAUUAUUUUCUUGGGGCUUGGCUCUGAAAUCUCAAGCUGCAUCGGCAAAGUGUAUAUACACACAGAGAGAGUCCGUAUGCGUUUGGAUGCAUUCAUUUAAUAAUUGUAUCCUUGGAAGCUUUCAUUAAUAAGUAGACACAGUGGUUAAUGUUGUCUUCAACCUUCCUAGCAAAAGUCAUGCUCAACUUGUGGUGCAAAACUCUUACUCUGCUACUGCUAGGCUACGAGGAUAUGGGCUAUUCUAAAGAGAAAACUCUGAUAUAACGUCCAAGAAAUGUGAUAAAUACUUCUUCUCUAAACAAACACCCUUUGCUAGAUAGGUGAUGACGCAU